GAAAGAGACAUGGGGGAUUAUUUGUCCUGUUCCCCAGAAGAGUACAUUUAAAAGGAGGAGGAAUUUGGAUCACUAAAAGAAAAAGAAAAAAAAGAAGGAUGAAACAGUCUCAUUGUGUCACCGAGGCUGAAGUGCAGUGGCAUAAUCAUGGCUUACUGCAGCCCCUACCUCUAGGCUCAAGCAAUCCUCCCAUCUCAGCUUCCUGUGUAGCUAGGAUGGAAAUGUUCUUUUUCUUAAAGGAUAUAUACUUUCUCCUAACCUCAGACAUCGGCAGUCUUGAUUGUCAGAACUUCAGACUCAGACUAAAUUUCCUGCUUCUGCAGCCGUCAGACAGAUUAUGGGAGUUCUUGGCCUCCAUAAUUAUCUUGAAAAUGGUUUUACAUGAAAGAUUUUCCUGAUCCACAUGAUCAUUGAGAAAAAUCCAAUAGGACACAGAAAGAAGGGGAUUGUCCGCAAAUGAAAAAGAAAGACUUCACUGAAAACUGAACACCUUGAUCUUAGUCUUCUAGCCUCCAGAACUGUGCAGAAAUAAGUAACUGUUGUAGAAGCCACCCAGUCGACGAUACUUUUGUUAUGGCAGCCCACGGCAGUGAAUACAAUGGCACAUACAUUUAUUAAGACAUACUAAACACUGUUUUUAAAUAUGUGUAAAUUUUAUUAUAUCUUAAUUAUACUUCAAUACAAUUGAUUAAAAGAUGCUAUAAGGCCAGCAUACCACUAGCAGUAUGAUUGAAUGAGAAAUAAAGCUGGAGAUGGCUGCACAAUACCUAGUUAUUGUCUGCAUAUAAGUUCAAUGGAAAGGACCAAACAACAACAACAAAACUUAUCUGGAAUUUUGGCAGAAGGAGGGAAACAGGCACAAAACACCUACAUUAUCCAGAAGUUAUAAUCAAUAUAAUUUACAGUUUGAUAAGUUGUGUUGCGAUGAAGAAGACGAAUGGGUCUCGACUUGUGCCCAAACUUCUGGAGUAAGUGACUAAGUGAAUGAUAAUGACAUCAUAUAAAAUAUGC
RNAcentral lists this long non-coding RNA (1011 nucleotides) under Callithrix jacchus (white-tufted-ear marmoset). RNAcentral describes it as "lncRNA (ENSCJAG00000079701.1)". Lineage: Eukaryota; Metazoa; Chordata; Mammalia; Primates; Cebidae. The record is from RNAcentral.